Molecule: long non-coding RNA, 1402 nt
Organism: Rosa rugosa (rugosa rose)
Lineage: Eukaryota; Viridiplantae; Streptophyta; Magnoliopsida; Rosales; Rosaceae
Exons: 5
Source: RefSeq, a predicted model, not a curated record
UUACAUUGCACCUGGCCUGUUUUCUGGAACUGGGGAUGGAGCAUCAAAACCAGACUAACGCCGGCCCACUGGUUUUCCAAAACCACCCUUCUAGAACCCUCCACCUUUUCUAUAAAACUAACAUACAGAUCGUGUCAGUAGCCACACAACAAACCUAUUUCUCAUUUCCAAUCAUCUGAUUAGGUUUUGGUUAGAGAAUGGUGGGGGCAUAUCAGGCGUCUGAAGGCCUGGACGAGGAGGUAGAUGGGGGUCUCUUAUUGAACUUUCUGUUCCCUUAGGGUUCAGAGCAUCGAAUCCAUGAUUUACCAGAUUGAGAUUACCAGAGGAGAGUGUAGACAUAGGGAAAUUGAUAACGAUUAAGAGGCACAAGAUUGCAAGGGUUCAACUAUCUCUGGGAGGAAACGUAAAUAUGCAAUAGUUAGGGAGGAACCAAGAGAUGAAUAAGUUAAUCAGGAAUGUUCUUAGGAUCUAUCGCCUCAUCCUUCAAUCGAAUCAAUCCCUGUGAUGCUGCAUUGAUGAUACUGCAGGGUGCCUUCAGGUCAUAAAGAAGAAGACAUGCUGCAAGACCGACUCUCUGGAUUGCUUAGACAUGAACAAAUAUGAGCUCCUAGAAAAAAAUGACAGCAGUUUCCAAUUUACCUGUGGUUGUCUUUUCAAAGGGGCUGUAUAUGAUAUUGUUAAGCUACUCACAAUGGAUAAUCUCAAGAACCUUUGGCAAGUUGCAUUCAGAAACAACAGAAAUGUGGUGAUAGACAUUACUAAAGAGGAAAGUAAUGCUCAUGUAGAAUCACAAGCAAACAUACCGAAUUUCAAAAUAGAAAGGUCAGAAGGAACGGACAAUUUGGAGGAGAAAUAUAGCAGUGGUUCAACAGCCUUCACGAAGCGAAGGGUAAUAUGGAGUGGUAAUAGGCCUAUUUGCACUUUUGUAAUUGUUUUCAAGUUGUUGUAAUUUCAGAGACUUUUGAUGGCAUAAUUUUGCAAACCUACUUAAAAGAAAUUAGAUUGAAAGCCUUGGCAUAUAGCAAAGAGUACUUACAGUUCAAAUUACUUGAGCCAUCUUUACAUUGAAAAGUAAACAGAAAAUAAAAGAGAAAAUUAGAUAUAAACCCAAAAAUUCAACAUUCUAUUAGAAAAAAACCCAUACAUACUUUUCUUUUAAUUUACACCCAAAUCACAUUAAUAAACCUUCUAUAUAGAGUGAUUCAUAAAAAAAUAAAAAUAAAACCUUCCAUAUAGACUGUAUGCUUAUAAUCAAUAUUUUUCCUUAUUUUCAUGUAUAUCUAAUUUGCCCUUUUAUAUUUUCUCAAAUAAUACAUGUCUAAUGUACCUACUAAAUAUGUAUAUGUAGGUAGGGCUUAAAUAAUAGAAACGUUCAAGCUUAAUAGAGAUCGACACGCAAUGA